GCUCUUGCAUCGAUGAAGAACGUAGCGAAAUGCGAUACUUGGUGUGAAUUGCAGAAUCCCGUGAACCAUCGAGUCUUUGAACGCAAGUUGCGCCCGAAGCCAUUAGGCCGAGGGCACGCCUGCCUGGGUGUUGCACAUCGUUGCCCCCGUGCCCUGGCCAYGU
RNAcentral lists this ribosomal RNA (163 nucleotides) under Lupinus sp. 1-CEH. RNAcentral's name for it is "5.8S ribosomal RNA". The stretch from base 1 to 133 matches the Rfam family "5.8S ribosomal RNA", at positions 24 to 154 of the family's 154-position model. Rfam says of the family: 5.8S ribosomal RNA (5.8S rRNA) is a component of the large subunit of the eukaryotic ribosome. It is transcribed by RNA polymerase I as part of the 45S precursor that also contains 18S and 28S rRNA. Lineage: Eukaryota; Viridiplantae; Streptophyta; Magnoliopsida; Fabales; Fabaceae. The record is from RNAcentral.